CGGUUUUGGAUGGGCGUGCGCCUGAUUAGGUAGUUGGUGAGGGUAACGGCCCACCAAGCCUGCGAUCAGUAACUGGUGUGAGAGCACGACCAGUCACACGGGCACUGAGACACGGGCCCG
This 120-nucleotide ribosomal RNA is filed under the name uncultured bacterium. RNAcentral's name for it is "partial 16S ribosomal RNA". It matches the Rfam family "Bacterial small subunit ribosomal RNA", at positions 216 to 334 of the family's 1533-position model. The record is from RNAcentral.